This 687-nucleotide ribosomal RNA is filed under the name Pantoea sp. RNAcentral's name for it is "bacterial SSU rRNA". It matches the Rfam family "Bacterial small subunit ribosomal RNA", at positions 762 to 1449 of the family's 1533-position model. Lineage: Bacteria; Pseudomonadati; Pseudomonadota; Gammaproteobacteria; Enterobacterales; Erwiniaceae. The record is from RNAcentral.
UGGGGAGCAAACAGGAUUAGAUACCCUGGUAGUCCACGCCGUAAACGAUGUCGACUUGGAGGUUGUGCCCUUGAGGCGUGGCUUCCGGAGCUAACGCGUUAAGUCGACCGCCUGGGGAGUACGGCCGCAAGGUUAAAACUCAAAUGAAUUGACGGGGGCCCGCACAAGCGGUGGAGCAUGUGGUUUAAUUCGAUGCAACGCGAAGAACCUUACCUACUCUUGACAUCCAGAGAACUUAGCAGAGAUGCUUUGGUGCCUUCGGGAACUCUGAGACAGGUGCUGCAUGGCUGUCGUCAGCUCGUGUUGUGAAAUGUUGGGUUAAGUCCCGCAACGAGCGCAACCCUUAUCCUUUGUUGCCAGCGGUUAGGCCGGGAACUCAAAGGAGACUGCCAGUGAUAAACUGGAGGAAGGUGGGGAUGACGUCAAGUCAUCAUGGCCCUUACGAGUAGGGCUACACACGUGCUACAAUGGCGCAUACAAAGAGAAGCGACCUCGCGAGAGCAAGCGGACCUCAUAAAGUGCGUCGUAGUCCGGAUUGGAGUCUGCAACUCGACUCCAUGAAGUCGGAAUCGCUAGUAAUCGUGGAUCAGAAUGCCACGGUGAAUACGUUCCCGGGCCUUGUACACACCGCCCGUCACACCAUGGGAGUGGGUUGCAAAAGAAGUAGGUAGCUUAACCUUCGGGAGG